UACAGAGGUCUCAAGCGUUGUUCGGAUUCAUUGGGCGUAAAGGGUGCGUAGGUGGCGGGGUAAGUCAGGUGUGAAAUCUCGGGGCUCAACCCCGAAACUGCAUUUGAUACUGCCUUGCUCGAGUACUGGAGAGGAGAUUGGAAUUUACGGUGUAGCAGUGAAAUGCGUAGAUAUCGUAAGGAAGACCAGUGGCGAAGGCGAAUCUCUGGACAGUUACUGACACUGAGGCACGAAAGCCAGGGGAGCAAACGGG
This 253-nucleotide ribosomal RNA is filed under the name uncultured bacterium. RNAcentral describes it as "partial 16S ribosomal RNA". It matches the Rfam family "Bacterial small subunit ribosomal RNA", at positions 524 to 776 of the family's 1533-position model. The record is from RNAcentral.